CCGCAUCAUACGGCUCCGCCCCGAGCUUCCGUCGUCGGCCCUUGUCAUUAGACCACUAUCUAUGCAUGUAUAUUAAGCCUGGACUCUCGAAUCUUUUGCUUCUCGGGUGGCGGCGAACAAUGCAGCUUGCGUUGCGGGCCCGCAUUUUGUAUUGAAGAGGGGCCCGGCCCACUUCUCGCCCGAAAGAACCGCUCACUAGCUAGCCGGACUAGUGGGGGCCCUAUCUGGAGACAUACUGAAAACCAUGCCCUUCGAACCGAACGCAACGCCCGUCUUCCAAAUCACAAAAAGGGCUCGUUGGG
Molecule: long non-coding RNA, 302 nt
Filed under: Arachis ipaensis
Lineage: Eukaryota; Viridiplantae; Streptophyta; Magnoliopsida; Fabales; Fabaceae
Description: long non-coding RNA (AIPA_LNC002618)
Source: RNAcentral